UACGUAGGUGGCAAGCGUUGUCCGGAUUUACUGGGCGUAAAGAGCGCGCAGGCGGUCGAGUAAGUCGAAUGUGAAAGCCCCCGGCUUAACUGGGGAGGGUCAUUCGAUACUGUUCGACUUGAAGGCAGGAGAGGGCAGCAGAAUUCCCGGUGUAGUGGUGAAAUGCGUAGAUAUCGGGAGGAAUACCAGUGGCGAAGGCGGCUGCCUGGCCUGUUCUUGACGCUGAGGCGCGAAAGCUGGGGGAGUAAACGGG
This 253-nucleotide ribosomal RNA is filed under the name uncultured bacterium. RNAcentral describes it as "partial 16S ribosomal RNA". It matches the Rfam family "Bacterial small subunit ribosomal RNA", at positions 524 to 776 of the family's 1533-position model. The record is from RNAcentral.